This 402-nucleotide ribosomal RNA is filed under the name Bacteroidota bacterium. RNAcentral describes it as "Bacteroidetes bacterium partial 16S ribosomal RNA". It matches the Rfam family "Bacterial small subunit ribosomal RNA", at positions 355 to 776 of the family's 1533-position model. Lineage: Bacteria; Pseudomonadati; Bacteroidota. The record is from RNAcentral.
UGGGGAAUUUUGCACAAUGGGGGAAACCCUGAUGCAGCGACGCCGCGUGAUUUAGAAGGCCUUCGGGUUGUAAAAAUCUUUUUUAUGGGAAGAAAAUGACAGUACUAUACGAAUAAGGACCGGCUAAUUACGUGCCAGCAGCCGCGGUAAUACGUAAGGUCCGAGCGUUGUCCGGAAUCAUUGGGCGUAAAGGGUACGUAGGCGGGUAAGCAAGUUAGAAGUGAAAUCCUAUAGCUCAACUAUAGUAAGCUUUUAAAACUGCUCAUCUUGAGGUAUGGAAGGGAAAGUGGAAUUCCUAGUGUAGCGGUGAAAUGCGCAGAUAUUAGGAGGAAUACCGGUGGCGAAGGCGACUUUCUGGCCAUAACCUGACGCUGAGGUACGAAAGCGUGGGUAGCAAACAGG